This 484-nucleotide ribosomal RNA is filed under the name uncultured bacterium. RNAcentral describes it as "partial 16S ribosomal RNA". It matches the Rfam family "Bacterial small subunit ribosomal RNA", at positions 30 to 507 of the family's 1533-position model. The record is from RNAcentral.
AUUGAACGCUGGCGGCAGGCCUAACACAUGCAAGUCGAGCGGAUGAAGGGAGCUUGCUCCUGGAUUCAGCGGCGGACGGGUGAGUAAUGCCUAGGAAUCUGCCUGGUAGUGGGGGAUAACGUCCGGAAACGGGCGCUAAUACCGCAUACGUCCUGAGGGAGAAAGUGGGGGAUCUUCGGACCUCACGCUAUCAGAUGAGCCUAGGUCGGAUUAGCUAGUUGGUGGGGUAAAGGCCUACCAAGGCGACGAUCCGUAACUGGUCUGAGAGGAUGAUCAGUCACACUGGAACUGAGACACCGGCCCGACUCCUACGGGAGGCAACAGUGGGGAAUAUUGGGCAAUGGGCGAAAGCCUGAUCCAGCCAUGCCGCGUGUGUGAAGAAGGUCUUCGGAUUGUAAAGCACUUUAAGUUGGGAGGAAGGGCAGUAAGUUAAUACCUUGCUGUUUUGACGUUACCAACAGAAUAAGCACCGGCUAACUUCGUG